RNAcentral lists this ribosomal RNA (489 nucleotides) under uncultured Eubacteriales bacterium. RNAcentral's name for it is "uncultured Clostridiales bacterium partial 16S ribosomal RNA". Lineage: Bacteria; Bacillati; Bacillota; Clostridia; Eubacteriales. The record is from RNAcentral.
CACGUAGUUAGCCGGGGCUUCUUACUCAGGUACCGUCAUUUUCUUCCCUGCUGAUAGAGCUUUACAUCACGAAUGGCUUCUUCACUCACGCGGCGUUGCUGCAUCAGGGUUUCCCCCAUUGUGCAAUAUUCCCCACUGCUGCCUCCCGUAGGAGUUUGGGCCGUGUCUCAGUCCCAAUGUGGCCGUUCACCCUCUCAGGCCGGCUACUGAUCGUCGCCUUGGUGGGCUUCUACCCCGCCAACCAGCUAAUCAGACGCGGAUCCAUCUUACACCACCGGAGUUUUUCACACUAAGCCAUGCGGCUCCGUGCGCUUAUGCGGUAUUAGCACCUAUUUCUAAGUGUUAUCCCCCAGUGUAAGGCAGGUUAUCCACGCGUUACUCACCCGUCCGCCACUAAGUUACGAAUCACUAGGUUUCAUCGUAACUCCGUUCGACUUGCAUGUGUUAGGCACGCCGCCAGCGUUCAUCCUGAGCCAGGAUCGAAACUCU